Molecule: ribosomal RNA, 116 nt
Filed under: uncultured eukaryote
Lineage: Eukaryota
Description: partial small subunit ribosomal RNA
Rfam family: Bacterial small subunit ribosomal RNA
Source: RNAcentral
GUCUGUACCCGAAAUCAUCUUAGCUAACUUGCAAAAGAGGCGGAUGCUGAAGGUAUGGGGAGUGAUUGGGGUGAAGUCGUAACAAGGUAGCUGUAGGUGAACCUGCAGAAGGAUCA